UNGAGUCAACGCCAGGAAUCUCACCGGGGGCGACAGCAGGAUGACGGCCAGGCUGACGACCUUGCCCGACGCGCUGAGAGGAGGUGCAUGGCCGUCGCCAGCUCGUGUCGUGAGAUGUCCGGUUAAGUCCGGCAACGAGCGAGACCCCCGCCCCCAGUUGCGAUCCGGUCCUCCGGGACCGGAGCACACUGGGGGGACUGCCGCCGUGUAAGGCGGAGGAAGGAGGGGGCCACGGCAGGUCAGCAUGCCCCGAAA
RNAcentral lists this ribosomal RNA (255 nucleotides) under uncultured archaeon. Its description in RNAcentral is "partial 16S rRNA". It matches the Rfam family "Archaeal small subunit ribosomal RNA", at positions 907 to 1161 of the family's 1478-position model. The record is from RNAcentral.